AUAUCUCCCCAUACGCCGGUACAACCAACGCCACGUAUGGGGCCUGUCCCAACGCCGAAUAACCUACGCCACGCGGGACCUCAAUAUUCAUAUCACAAAUCUCCCCAUACGCCGGUACAACCAACGCCACGUAUGGGGUCUAUCGACACGCCGGAUAACCUACGCCACGUGCGACCUCAACACAAUAUCACAUAAUCUCC
RNAcentral lists this long non-coding RNA (200 nucleotides) under Prunus persica (peach). Its description in RNAcentral is "long non-coding RNA (PPER_LNC000524)". The record is from RNAcentral. Lineage: Eukaryota; Viridiplantae; Streptophyta; Magnoliopsida; Rosales; Rosaceae.